CAACCAAACACAACAACAACCAACCCAACCCAUACCCAACCCAACCCACAUCCAACAACUCAAUCCAGGGUUCAUUACCACUAUUGGCCGCGCCACCAACUCUAUUGCUACUCAGCACACAGGCCAACUUUCAGAAAGUCUAUUUGCUAUGGAUGCAAUGCAAUCUGGGAUUACUUGUAUGUAACACUUGUGCCUUUGGAGUACUGGUAUUUGUAGACCACAACACUGCUAUGAUAUCACUUAUAGGUUUGGCUGCCUCUCUGAGCCUGCUCCUAAUAUUCAUUGGAUUAUGCUUCACACAUGAAU
Molecule: long non-coding RNA, 306 nt
Organism: Engraulis encrasicolus (European anchovy)
Lineage: Eukaryota; Metazoa; Chordata; Actinopteri; Clupeiformes; Engraulidae
Exons: 4
Source: RefSeq, a predicted model, not a curated record